AACGAACGCUGGCGGCAGGCUUAACACAUGCAAGUCGAACGAGAUCUUCGGAUCUAGUGGCAGACGGGUGAGGAACACAUGGGAACAUCCCUUUCAGUUCGGAAUAACGUUGGGAAACUAACGCUAAUACCGGAUACGUCCUUCGGGAGAAAGAUUUAUCGCUGAAAGAUUGGCCCGCGUCUGAUUAGCUAGUUGGUGAGGUAACGGCUCACCAAGGCUACGAUCAGUAGCUGAUCUGAGAGGAUGAUCAGCCACAAGGGAACUGAGACACGGUCCUUACUCCUACGGGAGGCAGCAGUGGGGAAUAUUGGACAAUGGGCCACAAGCCUGAUCCAGCAAUUCUGUGUGCACGAUGAAGGUCUUCGGAUUGUAAAGUGCUUUCAGUAGGGAAGAAAAAAAUGACGGUACCUACAGAAGAAGCGACGGCUAAAUAUGUGCCAGCCGCCGCAGUAA
Molecule: ribosomal RNA, 453 nt
Filed under: uncultured bacterium
Lineage: Bacteria
Description: partial 16S ribosomal RNA
Rfam family: Bacterial small subunit ribosomal RNA
Source: RNAcentral